Molecule: ribosomal RNA, 253 nt
Filed under: uncultured bacterium
Lineage: Bacteria
Description: partial 16S ribosomal RNA
Rfam family: Bacterial small subunit ribosomal RNA
Source: RNAcentral
UACGUAGGCAGCGAGCGUUGUUCGGAGUUACUGGGCGUAAAGGGUGCGUAGGCGGUUGUUUAAGUUUGGUGUGAAAUCUCCCGGCUCAACUGGGAGGGUGCGCCGAAUACUGAAUGACUAGAGUGCGGGAGAGGAUAGUGGAAUUCCUGGUGUAGCGGUGAAAUGCGUAGAUAUCGGGAGGAACACCGGUGGCGAAGGCGGCGAUCUGGGUCGAUACUGACGCUGAGGUGCGAAAGCGUGGGGAGCAAACAGG